CCGGUCUCUGCGGCGCGGUGUCGUAACGCUCCGCAUUCCUGGGAGCCUGCGCUCCCGGUUCAUGGAAUUGUGCUCCCGGCCCCGGGCGAAAACAGCAGCGACAACAACAAAAAGCAGGCGAGCCUUUGGCCGGGUUUUGGGAGGCUCCAGAAAUGAGUUCCAGAAGAAAGUGUUCCGGGCAGGAGUUCAGGGCAUGGACAGCGGGAGGAGGCAGCGGGAAAAGCUGGAUAAUCCUGGCCUUGCGUCACCUCCCGCGGCCCCACGUGCACAGCCAACAACGCCAAUGAGGAGGGCUUGGAGGCGCCGUUCCCCUGCCGGGGAAGGGACGGAUCAGGGAACACCAGCAAGGAGAAGAUCUUCCAAACUCUGUUUGGAUGGAUCCAGGGAGAUGAACCUGCUGAGGAGAGGGACUGAGCCAACACUGCGGCAGAAGAAGGGGCCUCAGCUCCCAAAAUAA
RNAcentral lists this long non-coding RNA (457 nucleotides) under Chloebia gouldiae (Gouldian finch). Its description in RNAcentral is "Erythrura gouldiae (Gouldian finch) lncRNA (ENSEGOG00005012564.1)". Lineage: Eukaryota; Metazoa; Chordata; Aves; Passeriformes; Passeridae. The record is from RNAcentral.